RNAcentral lists this ribosomal RNA (920 nucleotides) under uncultured archaeon. RNAcentral describes it as "bacterial SSU rRNA". It matches the Rfam family "Archaeal small subunit ribosomal RNA", at positions 1 to 922 of the family's 1478-position model. The record is from RNAcentral.
UUCCGGUUGAUCCCGCCGGAGGUCAUUGCUAUCGGAGUCCGAUUUAGCCAUGCUAGUCGUGCGAGUUCACACUCGCGGCACCGAGCUCAGUAACACGUGGCCAAACUACCCUACAGAGACGGAUACCCUCGGGAAACUGAGGCUAACCCGUCAUACCGAUCUCAGGCUUGAAUCGCAGAGAUCACCAAAUGCCCCGGCGCUGUAGGAUGUGGCUGCGGUUGAUUAGGUUGACGGUGGGGUAACGGCCCACCGUGCCCAUAAUCAGUACAGGUUGUGAGAGCAAGAACCUGGAGACGGAAUCUGAGACAAGAUUCCGGGCCCUACGGGGCGCAGCAGGCGCGAAACCUUUACACUGCACGACAGUGCGAUAGGGGGAUUCCGAGUGCGAGGGCAUACAGUCCUCGCUUUUCUGGACCGUAAGGAGGUCCAAGAAUAAGGGCUGGGCAAGACCGGUGCCAGCCGCCGCGGUAAUACCGGCAGCCCGAGUGAUGGCCGAUAUUAUUGGGCCUAAAGCGUUCGUAGCCGGCCGGACAAGUCUGUUGGGAAAUCCACGUGCUCAACGCGUGGGCGUCCAGCGGAAACUGUCUGGCUUGGGGCCGGAGGACUCGAGGGGUACGUCCGGGGUAGGAGUGAAAUCCCGUAAUCCUGGACGGACCACCGGUGGCGAAAGCGCCUCGAGAAGACGGACCCGACGGUGAGGAACGAAAGCCAGGGUCUCGAACCGGAUUAGAUACCCGGGUAGUCCUGGCCGUAAACAAUGUCUGCUAGGUGUGGCACAGGCUACGAGCCUGUGCUGUGCCGCAGGGAAGCCGUGAAGCAGACCGCCUGGGAAGUACGUCCGCAAGGAUGAAACUUAAAGGAAUUGGCGGGGGAGCACUACAACCGGAGGAGCCUGCGGUUUAAUUGGAUUCAACGCCGGG